UACGUAGGGUGCGAGCGUUGUCCGGAAUUACUGGGCGUAAAGAGCUCGUAGGUGGUUUGUCGCGUUGUUCGUGAAAUCUCACGGCUUAACUGUGAGCGUGCGGGCGAUACGGGCAGACUAGAGUACUGCAGGGGAGACUGGAAUUCCUGGUGUAGCGGCGGAAUGCGCAGAUAUCAGGAGGAACACCGGUGGCGAAGGCGGGUCUCUGGGCAGUAACUGACGCUGAGGAGCGAAAGCGUGGGGAGCGAACAGG
This 253-nucleotide ribosomal RNA is filed under the name uncultured bacterium. Its description in RNAcentral is "partial 16S ribosomal RNA". It matches the Rfam family "Bacterial small subunit ribosomal RNA", at positions 524 to 776 of the family's 1533-position model. The record is from RNAcentral.